This 468-nucleotide ribosomal RNA is filed under the name uncultured bacterium. RNAcentral's name for it is "partial 16S ribosomal RNA". It matches the Rfam family "Bacterial small subunit ribosomal RNA", at positions 28 to 507 of the family's 1533-position model. The record is from RNAcentral.
GACGAACGCUGGCGGCGUGCUUAACACAUGCAAGUCGAACGGAAAGGCCCUGCUUUUGUGGGGUGCUCGAGUGGCGAACGGGUGAGUAACACGUGAGUAACCUGCCCUUGACUUUGGGAUAACUUCAGGAAACUGGGGCUAAUACCGGAUAGGAGCCCCUGCUGCAUGGUGGGGGUUGGAAAGUUUCGGCGGUUGGGGAUGGACUCGCGGCUUAUCAGCUUGUUGGUGGGGUAGUGGCCUACCAAGGCUUUGACGGGUAGCCGGCCUGAGAGGGUGACCGGCCACAUUGGGACUGAGAUACGGCCCAGACUCCUACGGGAGGCAGCAGUGGGGAAUAUUGCACAAUGGGCGGAAGCCUGAUGCAGCAACGCCGCGUGCGGGAUGACGGCCUUCGGGUUGUAAACCGCUUUCGCCUGUGACGAAGCGUGAGUGACGGUAAUGGGUAAAGAAGCACCGGCUAACUACGUG